GACGAACGCUGGCGGCGUGCUUAACACAUGCAAGUCGAACGAAGAGCGAUGGAAGCUUGCUUCUAUCAAUCUUAGUGGCGAACGGGUGAGUAACGCGUAAUCAACCUGCCCUUCAGAGGGGGACAACAGUUGGAAACGACUGCUAAUACCGCAUACGAUCUGACCUCGGCAUCGAGGAUAGAUGAAAGGUGGCCUCUAUUUAUAAGCUAUCACUGAAGGAGGGGAUUGCGUCUGAUUAGCUAGUUGGAGGGGUAACGGCCCACCAAGGCGAUGAUCAGUAGCCGGUCUGAGAGGAUGAACGGCCACAUUGGGACUGAGACACGGCCCAGACUCCUACGGGAGGCAGCAGUGGGGAAUCUUCCGCAAUGGACGAGAGGCUGACGGAGCAACGCCGCGUGAGUGAUGACGGCCUUCGGGUUGUAAAGCUCUGUUAAUCGGGACGAAAGGCCUUCUUGCGAAUAGUUAGAAGGAUUGACGGUACCGGAAGAGAAAGCCACGGCUAACUACGUG
This 510-nucleotide ribosomal RNA is filed under the name uncultured bacterium. Its description in RNAcentral is "partial 16S ribosomal RNA". It matches the Rfam family "Bacterial small subunit ribosomal RNA", at positions 28 to 507 of the family's 1533-position model. The record is from RNAcentral.